AGUGGAUGUUGACACCAUCAGAAAUAAUUGCUGUCUUAUAUGCAGAGGAUUUAUCUUCAUAACCAAUGAUCUGAAUCAAGAUUGCGAACCAUGGCGCCAAGGUUUAUCCAUUGAUGAUCUAUAACUUACUAUGAUCCAUGAGGACUAAAGAGUCGUAGAAGACAACCUAGUGGAAGCAUCAGGUCUCUUCACAGGUGUUGCAUCUUCUUGAAGAGGGAAUGGGUUACGGGAUAAUGACAUGGUCCAAUACAAUCUACUUCAACCAGCAAUGUCUUUUCUUGGGAGUACCAUUUAUCUUGGAAGAUAUAGAAACGGAAACAGAAUCACCCAGGGAUCAGUUAUGGAGAUCAUGAAUCUGCAUCUCUUCUUGAAGAAGAUGCAACACCUGUCAAGAGACAUGAUGCUUCCGGUGGAUAAACCUUGGUGCCAUGGUGUGCAAUCUUGAUUCAGAUCAUUGGUUAUGAAGAUUUGUGCAGAAAUAAGUCAUUCUUUUUUGUAUGAAAGGUUUUCUCACUUGUUUUAUUUUUCCACCAUGCAAAUCAAUGUUGUGGUUUUUUUGGG
Molecule: long non-coding RNA, 561 nt
Organism: Musa acuminata subsp. malaccensis (wild Malaysian banana)
Lineage: Eukaryota; Viridiplantae; Streptophyta; Magnoliopsida; Zingiberales; Musaceae
Source: RefSeq, a predicted model, not a curated record